GUGGGGAAUUUUGGACAAUGGGCGCAAGCCUGAUCCAGCAAUGCCGCGUGCAGGAAGAAGGCCUUCGGGUUGUAAACUGCUUUUGUACGGAACGAAACGGUCCGGGUUAAUACCCUGGGCUAAUGACGGUACCGUAAGAAUAAGCACCGGCUAACUACGUGCCAGCAGCCGCGGUAAUACGUAGGGUGCAAGCGUUAAUCGGAAUUACUGGGCGUAAAGCGUGCGCAGGCGGUUUUGUAAGACAGGCGUGAAAUCCCCGGGCUCAACCUGGGGAUUGCGAUUGUGACUGCAAGGCUGGAGUGCGGCAGAGGGGGAUGGAAUUCCGCGUGUAGCAGUGAAAUGCGUAGAUAUGCGGAGGAACACCGAUGGCGAAGGCAAUCCCCUGGGCCUGCACUGACGCUCAUGCACGAAAGCGUGGGGAGCAAACAGGAUUAGAAACCCCAGUAGUCC
RNAcentral lists this ribosomal RNA (450 nucleotides) under uncultured bacterium. RNAcentral's name for it is "partial 16S ribosomal RNA". It matches the Rfam family "Bacterial small subunit ribosomal RNA", at positions 354 to 796 of the family's 1533-position model. The record is from RNAcentral.